Molecule: ribosomal RNA, 196 nt
Filed under: uncultured Vibrionales bacterium
Lineage: Bacteria; Pseudomonadati; Pseudomonadota; Gammaproteobacteria; Vibrionales
Description: partial 16S ribosomal RNA
Rfam family: Bacterial small subunit ribosomal RNA
Source: RNAcentral
ACUCCUACGGGAGGCAGCAGUGGGGAAUAUUGCACAAUGGGCGCAAGCCUGAUGCAGCCAUGCCGCGUGUGUGAAGAAGGCCCUAGGGUUGUAAAGUACUUUCAGCAGUGAGGAAGGGGUGUAUGUUAAUAGCGUGCAUCUUUGACGUUAGCUGCAGAAGAAGCACCGGCUAACUCCGUGCCAGCAGCCGCGGUAA